GGUCACCUACGGGACGCAGCAGUGGGGGAUAUUGCACAAUGGGCGCAAGCCUGAUGCAGCGACGCCGCGUGAGCGAAGAAGUAUUUCGGUAUGUAAAGCUCUAUCAGCAGGGAAGAAAAUGACGGUACCUGACUAAGAAGCUCCGGCUAAAUACGUGCCAGCAGCCGCGGUAAUACGUAUGGAGCAAGCGUUAUCCGGAUUUACUGGGUGUAAAGGGAGCGUAGGCGGCUCUGUAAGUCUGAUGUGAAAAUUUGGGGCUCAAC
Molecule: ribosomal RNA, 263 nt
Filed under: uncultured bacterium
Lineage: Bacteria
Description: partial 16S ribosomal RNA
Rfam family: Bacterial small subunit ribosomal RNA
Source: RNAcentral